RNAcentral lists this ribosomal RNA (434 nucleotides) under uncultured bacterium. RNAcentral's name for it is "partial 16S ribosomal RNA". It matches the Rfam family "Bacterial small subunit ribosomal RNA", at positions 29 to 507 of the family's 1533-position model. The record is from RNAcentral.
GCGAACGCUGGCGGCAGGCUUAACACAUGCAAGUCGAACGGGCAUCUUCGGAUGUUAGUGGCAGACGGGUGAGUAACACGUGGGAACGUACCCUUCGGUUCGGAAUAACUCAGGGAAACUUGAGCUAAUACCGGAUACGCCCUUUUGGGGAAAGGUUUACUGCCGAAGGAUCGGCCCGCGUCUGAUUAGCUUGUUGGUGGGGUAACGGCCUACCAAGGCGACGAUCAGUAGCUGGUCUGAGAGGAUGAUCAGCCACACUGGGACUGAGACACGGCCCAGACUCCUACGGGAAGCAGCAGUGGGGAAUAUUGGACAAUGGGCGCAAGCCUGAUCCAGCCAUGCCGCGUGAGUGAUGAAGGCCUUAGGGUUGUAAAGCUCUUUUGUCCGGGACGAUAAUGACGGUACCGGAAGAAUAAGCCCCGGCUAACUUCGUG